This 253-nucleotide ribosomal RNA is filed under the name uncultured bacterium. RNAcentral describes it as "partial 16S ribosomal RNA". It matches the Rfam family "Bacterial small subunit ribosomal RNA", at positions 524 to 776 of the family's 1533-position model. The record is from RNAcentral.
UACGUAGGCAGCGAGCGUUGUUCGGAAUUACUGGGCGUAAAGAGUGUGUAGGCGGUGCUCUAAGUUCGGUGUGAAAUCUCCUGGCUUAACUGGGAGGGUGCGCCGGAAACUGGAGUGCUCGAACGUGGGAGAGGAAAGCGGAAUUCCUGGCGUAGCGGUGAAAUGCGUAGAUAUCAGGAGGAACACCUGCGGUGUAGACGGCUUUCUGGACCAUUGUUGACGCUGAGACACGAAAGCGUGGGUAGCAAACAGG